This 1904-nucleotide ribosomal RNA is filed under the name human gut metagenome. RNAcentral's name for it is "bacterial LSU rRNA". It matches the Rfam family "Bacterial large subunit ribosomal RNA", at positions 1 to 1984 of the family's 2925-position model. The record is from RNAcentral.
UGAAGUAAGUAAGGGCGUACGGUGAAUGCCUUGGUGCCAACAGGCGAAGAAGGACGCGGCAAGCUGCGAAAAGCCUCGGGAAGCUGCAAGCAAGCGAUGAUCCGGGGAUAUCCGAAUGGGGUAACCUGAUCGAGGCAAUACUCGAUCGUUCAUACCUGAAUACAUAGGGUAUGAAACGCGAAACCCGCUGAAGUGAAACAUCUCAGUAAGCGGAGGAAAAGAAAGAGAAAUCGAUUCCGUAAGUAGUGGCGAGCGAAAGCGGAUGGAGCCCAAACCGAAGGUAUUCCUUCGGGGUUGUAGGACCACGUCAUAUUCGACCAUACUGGAUAGUAGAACAGCCUGGAAAGGCUGGCCGGAGAAGGUGAAAGCCCUGUAGACGAAAUCCAGAGUGGGAAUUAGUGGUAUCCUGAGUAAUACAUCACACGUGGAACGAUGUAUGAACCCGCGCGGACCACCGCGCAAGGCUAAAUACUAGUUGGCGACCGAUAGUGAACAAGUACCGCGAGGGAAAGGUGAAAAGAACCGCUGUGAGCGGAGUGAAAUAGAACCUGAAACCGUAUGUCUACAAAGUGUCAGAGCAGAGCAAUCUGCGAUGGCGUGCCUUUUGUUUAAUGAGUCUGCGAGUCAGUGUUUGUGGCAAGACUAAGGGCUUCCGGCCCGGAGUCGCAGCGAAAGCAAGUCCGAACAGGGCGCAAUAAGUCGCAGGUACUGGACCCGAAGCGGAGGUGACCUACCCUUGGCCAGGUUGAAGCAUGGGUAAAACCAUGUGGAGGACCGAACAGGUGAACGUUGAAAAGUUCUCUGAUGAGCUGAGGGUAGGAGUGAAAGGCUAAUCAAACCCCGUGAUAGCUGGUUCUCUUCGAAAUGCAUUUAGGUGCAGCGUCACGUGCUGAUGCGCGGGGGUAGAGCACUGACAAGGCUAGGGGGCACACCCGCUUACCAAACCUUAUCAAACUCCGAAUACCGUGCAAUGGAACGUGGCAGUGAGACAGUGGGGGAUAAGCUUCAUUGUCGAGAGGGAAACAACCCAGACCAGCAGCUAAGGUGCCUAAAUAACGCUCAGUGGAAAGGAUGUGGGAUUACACAGACAGUGAGGAUGUUGGCUUAGAAGCAGCCACCAUUUAAAAAAUGCGUAAUAGCUUACUCAUCGAGUGAUCCUGCGCCGAAAAUGAUUGGCGAUCAAGCGUUAUACCGAAGCUCUGGACUUUGCCGCAAGGCAGAGUGGUAGAAGAGCGUUGCAUGCGCGUCGAAGGGCGAUGGCGACUGACCCUGGAGCACAUGCAAGUGAGUAUGCAGACAUGAGUAACGUUAAGCCGGGUGAAAUCCCCGGCCGCCGUAAACCCGAGGUUUCCAGGGCAACGUGUUUCGUCCCUGGGUUAGCCGGGACCUAAGCCGAGGCCGAGAGGCGUAGGCGAUGGACAUCAGGUUAAUAAUCCUGAGCUCGCAACCCUUAAACUGGGGGGACGCAUGAGAAAAGAUGACUAGGUUAUUGAAUUCCGAGUUGAGUCUACGGACUCAGCGCAUCAUUGGAUCGAGUGCCAAGAAAAGCCCCAGCGUAUGCUAAGCGACCCGUACCGCAAACCGACACAGGUGGGUGGGUAGAAUAUACCAAGGCGUAAGAGUGAAACCUGGUUAAGGAACUCGGCAAAUUAGCCCCGUAACUUCGGAAGAAGGGGUGCCUGCAGCGAUGCAGGCCGCAGAGAAAUGGCCCAACCGACUGUUUAUCAAAAACACAGCACUCUGCAAAGACGCAAGUCGAAGUAUAGGGUGUGACACGUGACCAAUGCCGAAAGAUUAAGGCAAGGGGUUAGCCGCAAGGCGAAGCUCUAAACCCAAGUCCCGGUGAAUGUCGGCCGUAACUAUAACGGUCCUAAGGUAGCGAAAUUCCUUGUCGGGUAAGUUCC